UUGUAAUCAUUUGUAUGUAAUUAAUGUUGAUUGUUCUGCUCCUUGUGGGCGCUUUGAUUAGCAAUAAAAUAUAUUUGAAUUUGAAUUUGCUGGUCAUGGAUAUUCGCAAAUAAUUUAAAUUAAAAAUACAGUAUGUGUCAAUGUGAUCACCUUUGUACUAAAAUUUAAUUCAAUUUUUUAGUAGGUAUUUAAUGUUUGAAACUUACAAAAAUAACUUAAGGGACAUACUGUAUACCAU
Molecule: long non-coding RNA, 238 nt
Filed under: Mytilus galloprovincialis (Mediterranean mussel)
Lineage: Eukaryota; Metazoa; Mollusca; Bivalvia; Mytilida; Mytilidae
Source: RNAcentral